UCAACAAUGUCAUAAAAUGACAGAAAUACCCAGUUAAGUUUAUUAAAAUUCAAGACAAUAAACAUGUUAGGUACAUAAGUCCACAUUUUUUUUAAGCGGUAAAUCUCACAAUUUUUUAUUUGAGACAAAAUUCCAGUUGGGCAGUUUGUUGUCGUUAAGCUAUUGGUUUCAGCCGUGCUGACUAUGCACAAUUUUGGCCCACAAAUGAAGUUUAUUCUUAAGCUAUAUAGGCUCCAUCCAACCAUACAUAAUACUUUAGAUAAAGUCAGAUUUAGUGCCCAAACCAACAUUUAUUUGUUUA
Molecule: long non-coding RNA, 301 nt
Filed under: Olea europaea (common olive)
Lineage: Eukaryota; Viridiplantae; Streptophyta; Magnoliopsida; Lamiales; Oleaceae
Description: long non-coding RNA (OEUR_LNC002942)
Source: RNAcentral